RNAcentral lists this ribosomal RNA (300 nucleotides) under uncultured bacterium. RNAcentral describes it as "bacterial SSU rRNA". It matches the Rfam family "Bacterial small subunit ribosomal RNA", at positions 1090 to 1390 of the family's 1533-position model. The record is from RNAcentral.
CAACGAGCGCAACCCUUAUCCUUUGUUGCCAGCGGUCCGGCCGGGAACUCAAAGGAGACUGCCAGUGAUAAACUGGAGGAAGGUGGGGAUGACGUCAAGUCAUCAUGGCCCUUACGACCAGGGCUACACACGUGCUACAAUGGCGCGUACAUAGAGAAGCGACCUCGCGAGAGCAAGCGGGCCUCAUAAAGUGCGUCGUAGUCCGGAUUGGAGUCUGCAACUCGACUCCAUGAAGUCGGAAUCGCUAGUAAUCGUGGAUCAGAAUGCCACGGUGAAUACGUUCCCGGGCCUUGUACACAC